This 253-nucleotide ribosomal RNA is filed under the name uncultured bacterium. RNAcentral describes it as "partial 16S ribosomal RNA". It matches the Rfam family "Bacterial small subunit ribosomal RNA", at positions 524 to 776 of the family's 1533-position model. The record is from RNAcentral.
UACGUAGGGACCAAGCGUUGUUUGGAUUUACUGGGCGUAAAGGGCGCGUAGGCGGCUUGACAAGUCACUUGUGAAAUCUCCGGGCUUAACUCGGAACGGCCAAGUGAAACUGUCAUGCUAGAGUGCAGAAGGGGCAAUCGGAAUUCUUGGUGUAGCGGUGAAAUGCGUAGAUAUCAAGAGGAACACCUGAGGUGAAGACGGGUUGCUGGGCUGACACUGACGCUGAGGCGCGAAAGCCAGGGGAGCAAACGGG